AGCGUGCGCAGGCGGUAAUGUAAGACAGAUGUGAAACUCCCCGGGCUCAACCUGGGAACUGCAUUUGUGACUGCAUUGCUGGAGUGCGGCAGGAGGGGGAUGGAAUUCCGCGUGUAGCAGUGAAAUGCGUAGAUAUGCGGAGGAACACCGAUGGCGAAGGCAAUCCCCUGGGCCUGCACUGACGCUCAUGCACGAAAGCGUGGGGAGCAAACAGGAUUAGAUACCCGGGU
RNAcentral lists this ribosomal RNA (230 nucleotides) under uncultured bacterium. Its description in RNAcentral is "partial 16S ribosomal RNA". It matches the Rfam family "Bacterial small subunit ribosomal RNA", at positions 564 to 791 of the family's 1533-position model. The record is from RNAcentral.